RNAcentral lists this ribosomal RNA (499 nucleotides) under uncultured bacterium. Its description in RNAcentral is "partial 16S ribosomal RNA". It matches the Rfam family "Bacterial small subunit ribosomal RNA", at positions 28 to 523 of the family's 1533-position model. The record is from RNAcentral.
GAUGAACGCUGGCGGCGUGCUUAACACAUGCAAGUCGAACGGUGAACGAGGGAGCUUGCUCCCUCCGGAUCAGUGGCGAACGGGUGAGUAACACGUGAGCAAUCUGCCCUGGACUCUGGGAUAGGCGUUGGAAACGACGUCUAAUACCGGAUACGAGGCGUGGGGGCAUCCCCAACGCCUGGAAAGAACUUCGGUCCAGGAGGAGCUCGCGGUCUCUCAGCUUGUUGGUGGGGUGAUGGCCUACCAAGGCGACGACGGAUAGCCGGCCUGAGGGGGUGAUCGGCCACACUGGGACUGAGACACGGCCCAGACUCCUACGGGAGGCAGCAGUGGGGAAUCUUGCGCAAUGGGCGGAAGCCCGACGCAGCAACGCCGCGUGGGGGAUGACGGCCUUCGGGUUGUAAACCUCUUUCGCGAUCGGCGAAGCUCAUGCUUCUGGCAUGGGUGACGGUAGGUCGAGAAGAAGCACCGGCCAACUACGUGCCAGCCGCCGCGGUAA